UACAACUAUUAAAAGAAAAUGAAAUAACAAGAACUUAGAACUUUCACUCGUCUCUCAAUUUCUCUUUCUCUCAGCCUUUCCAUUCUUUUUACACAAAACAGAGCCACCUCCCCUUCCGCCGUGAGCUCCGACGAGGGGGCUGAAACUAUCAAACAAGGAUACCGGUCAGACCGGUUUCUCAACCUUAGUACAAAUCUAGCAUCCAAGUUUUCAACACCUUUGUCAUCCCCAUUUAAUUUCAAAAAAUUCUAUUAACCCUAAACUACCAAAAAACAAAUUAAAGGGUAAUCGUGCAGAGUUUUAAGCAAUGGACAAAGGAUUUUGCAUCAGUACAUCAUAACAAACAACAUGGUAUCAAAGAAACAGAGAAAAAAGAGUGAAAAAAAGACUCACACAAGCGGAGCUAGUCCGACAAGCUCGUGAUUCCGACGAUAUGAUGCAACAUGUGGUGAGAGAAGUGACUCAAGUGGUGGCAACAGUGAUUCCGUUUUGCAUGGUUUUGUAUGGCAUGAUGGAUGUCGUGCGGAUCUGGUAUCAUUGUGAGAGUGAAGUUGUGUAUGGUGCAAUAAAUUUGUGUAUUAAAAGGGUAUGGAUUUGCGGAGGCGAGGAAGCCGUCAAGUGGUGGUUUAACAAGAUAAAGUACACAUGAAGAGCCAAGAGGGUCAAGUAAAAAAAAGUCAGUGAAGUUCAAAAGAGGGACCACACAUAAAGAUGUUUUUUGUGUAAUUUUACUGGAUUUAAUGUAAAACAAAUGUAUUAUUAUUAUAAAUAUAAAACUUAUUAUGCUUUUAA
This is a long non-coding RNA of Lathyrus oleraceus (garden pea), 792 nucleotides long. RefSeq lists it as uncharacterized. The record is from RefSeq and is a predicted model, not a curated record. The transcript has 2 exons. NCBI's taxonomy places the organism in Eukaryota, Viridiplantae, Streptophyta, Magnoliopsida, Fabales, Fabaceae.